RNAcentral lists this ribosomal RNA (371 nucleotides) under uncultured bacterium. Its description in RNAcentral is "bacterial SSU rRNA". It matches the Rfam family "Bacterial small subunit ribosomal RNA", at positions 28 to 313 of the family's 1533-position model. The record is from RNAcentral.
GAUGAACGCUGGCGGCGUGCCUAAUACAUGCAAGUCGAGCGGUAAGGCUCUGCACUUAGUAUUUUAUCGUAACGAUGAUCGUAAGGUUAUCGUUAAAUCAAGUUAUUCGGACCCUAGGCUAGGGAAUGGAGAAGCAAGAGGAGAUCGAAUGUUAAGUGUAGAGUACACGAGCGGCGGACGGCUGAGUAACACGUAGGAACGUACCCCAAAGUGAGGGAUAACUGCUCGAAAGAGUAGCUAAUACCGCAUGUGCUCUAAGGAGUAAAGCUUCGGCGCUUUGGGAACGGCCUGCGCAUGGUUAGCUUGUUGGUGAGGUAAUAGCUCACCAAGGCGACGAUCAUUAGCUGGUCUGAGAGGAUGAUCAGCCAGAC